CGCGCCCCGCUGACACUUUGUGAUGCGCGCGCUUUUGAAUAGGCUCGGGGAACGCGGUGCUAUAAGCAAAAGCCGUUUAGAGAAUCUGGCUGAGCCUUGUAGUUCCAGUACAGUUGGAAAGCCCCCGUUUACAUAUAGGCUUUUCAUUGUACUUAUAUAUGUCACUUUUUUGGAUUAGAGACCUCUGGUGGUAAAGGGGGGUAUGUGCAGGAUUUGGUUUUCACGUAAUGUUUUUUUUUUUUUUUUGUUCAAGCUUUAUUAAAAGCAACUUCAAACGGACAGAAAUAGGAGAAAGUAAACGAGCUGUUUCCGGGUGUUCUCGUCUCGUGGAUCACGUGCCACAGGCAGAAGUCAGCUGUAUGUGUCCCCUCCGAGGAAGCAAGGGCUGAAUUUCAUGGAGGAAGGAGGGAAGAGUCAUGUUCCAGCAGUAGACAGCAACACAUCCUCCCCUGGGCACCAUGUUGCUGCAGCAGGAGAAAAUAUUGAGGUAAUCGAUGAAGGCUUACCAGACGAUCUGCCUUCUCUGGACUCAGGCGCUGUGGAACAGCUGAGUGAGGGGCUCAUUUCUCAUUACUUGCCCAGUCUUCAAGACUCAAAGCUUGCCUUACAGGAACUUACGCAUUGGGUGAAGAUAUCCAGAUUCACCACUGACCAGGAGUUUAGAACAAAAAAGUGUUAUAUGUCCAAGAACUUCUAUCAAGCUAUUUUGCCCUGCAGGCAAAAUCAAGUGGUAUUAUUAGACACACUUGAGCAAGAAAUUUCCAAAUUUAGAGAGUGUAAUUCAAUUCUGGAUAUCAACGCUCUGAGGCCAAGUAUUACCACAACAAGUUAGUGAACAUAAGGAAGGAAAUGAUUCUGUUACAUGAAAAGACCUCAAAAUUAAAAAAAAGAGCAUUGAAGCUCCAACAGAAAAAGCAGGAGGAAAACCUAAAACAAGAACAGCAGCGAGAGCGGGAGCUUGAACGAGAAAAACAGUUAACGGCUAAGCCGGCAAAAAGGACAUGAAAAGUCCAAUAUACUGCAGUCUGUUCUGAUCUGUAAUGCUUAAUCCACAUCCUCAAUCAACUUCAAUAGACUCCGAAGACCCUUAUGAACUAUGAAAACUGCUCUGCCUUGUCCUCUGUGUUGUGUAUUAUAUUAUGUUUAUAGAUGAAAAUUUUAAGAUCAUAGUUUUAUUUAUAUUUACUUAUGAUUAUUUCUUUUACUGUGUAAUGUGUAUCAUGUUUACUUUGCACCACCUAGUGGCCAGCUAGAAUUUACUCCAUUAUAGGACUACAGUCUUAUAAAAUAGUUGGUGGAACGCCCUUUUUCCACGGUGAGUUCUGCAUUCCACAUGGUACAAGCUCAUCUGCAUGUGAAAGUCUUUUCUGAGCCAUAAACUAAUUUUCAGAUAUUUGCUUCACUUCUUCAAUGACAGAUUUAGAUAAAGGUGAAGUUAUGCCAAGGUACACAAUCGUAUAAAGGCAUGAGAAUGUGCUACUUUAUACAAACAUUAUUUCUAAUUCUAGGUUCAAGUCUUCAGACAAUUAGGACUCAUUCACACUAUGUUUCAAGCAGAAUCCUGCACAGAAAUUAUAGUGCAGCAGCCCUAUUAUGCUGCACCAUUCACAAAUCCCAGCUUAAAGAAGAAAGUUUAUGCUUUUGGCGGAAUCCGCACCGAGAUGGCACAUUUCCUAAUGUUCCUGUGGCCGGCUUGUUUUUCCGGCACCCGCUCCAGACAAAAUCUAUACCCAGAAUAUCUCCAGGCGGAGAUUGCUUAGUGUAAAUGAACCCUUACCAUUUCAGGCUAUAUGAAGACAAAUUUAGUUUUGAUGUAAUUUACAGCUAGCUCAUUAACCUAACCAAAUAUCAUCAUCCUUUACCUCCUGGGACUUUUGGUUCCCUGCUUGAAUGUUAGGGCUGGGUUCACACCACGGAAUCUCUGCUAAAGAUUCAGAGGGCUUCGCUAGGACUGCGCAGACUUCAUUGCCGUCUCCAUAGAUGGCAAUGCAUUUCUGAGUGGAUCUGCUGAAAGAAUACUCAUGUGAACCCAUUCUUUUAGCAGAUAUGUUCAGAAAUGCAUUGCCAUCUCUGGGGACAGCUACGUGGUCCUAGUGCUGCCCAUUGGAUCUCUGCCUGAAAUUCCAGUCAUCUAUUCCAUAGUGUGAACUCAGCCUAGGUGGCACACUUUCUUAAACUCAUACCCUAGAUGCAGCCAUUUUUAUUUUGGCUAUUACAGGUUAAUCUUUCUAGUUUAGUUCAGUAAUUAGACUCUCUGUAUAUUUCCUUAUGUCUGUCUGGUGGGGGGCAUAGAAAACAAUCCAUUAGUAUGUAAAUACUCUGCCUGAAAUAAAUGAUGCUUCAUGGUAACACAAUAA
RNA transcript from Hyla sarda, 2357 nucleotides. It is a transcript of the gene named biogenesis of lysosomal organelles complex 1 subunit 6, with no coding region annotated. The record is from RefSeq and is a predicted model, not a curated record. NCBI's taxonomy places the organism in Eukaryota, Metazoa, Chordata, Amphibia, Anura, Hylidae. The transcript is spliced from 6 exons.